This 484-nucleotide ribosomal RNA is filed under the name uncultured bacterium. RNAcentral's name for it is "partial 16S ribosomal RNA". It matches the Rfam family "Bacterial small subunit ribosomal RNA", at positions 30 to 507 of the family's 1533-position model. The record is from RNAcentral.
AUUGAACGCUGGCGGCAGGCCUAACACAUGCAAGUCGAGCGGAAGAAGGGAGCUUGCUCCUGGAUUCCGCGGCGGACGGGUGAGUAAUGCCUAGGAAUCUGCCUGGUAGUGGGGGAUAACGUCCGGAAACGGGCGCUAAUACCGCAUACGUCCUGAGGGAGAAAGUGGGGGAUCUUCGGACCUCACGCUAUCAGAUGAGCCUAGGUCGGAUUAGCUAGUUGGUGGGGUAAAGGCCUACCAAGGCGACGAUCCGUAACUGGUCUGAGAGGAUGAUCAGUCACACUGGAACUGAGACACGGUCCAGAGUCCUACGGGAGGCAGCAGUGGGGAAUAUUGGACAAUGGGCGAAAGCCUGAUCCAGCCAUGCCGCGUGUGUGAAGAAGGUCUUCGGAUUGUAAAGCACUUUAAGUUGGGAGGAAGGGCAGUAAGUUAAUACCUUGCUGUUUUGACGUUACCAACAGAAUAAGCACCGGCUAACUUCGUG